This is a long non-coding RNA of Astyanax mexicanus (Mexican tetra), 2986 nucleotides long. RefSeq lists it as uncharacterized. The transcript is spliced from 5 exons. The record is from RefSeq and is a predicted model, not a curated record. NCBI's taxonomy places the organism in Eukaryota, Metazoa, Chordata, Actinopteri, Characiformes, Acestrorhamphidae.
ACACAUUAGAGACUAUUCUAACAGUGGAGAAAAUCAGAGAUAGUAGUAUGUAUGAAGUAAAACUACUACACUACUGUACAUAAAUACUAAAAUGCUGUAACUGUAUCUACUGGAGGAUUUUUUUUUUCCUACUUCCACUUACUUUUUUUUUUUUUUACACUACAUAUUUUGAGUUUAAUACUUUAGUACUUUGACUUCAAUACUUUUACUCUGAUAAUUUUUUCUAAUUGAUAAUUGAUAAUUGUUUCUCGUUACAAUGUCUUUUUAUGUCUUUAUAAAAAAAGCAAGAAUUACUAAUAUCAGCUUUAUAUUACAAUGGCUUAUCAUAUGUGUAUUUCAUUAGCUUAGCUACCCAGCUAACAAGUUAUUUCCACCAGCAAAGAACAAAAAGGUAUAUUUGUUUUUUAUUAAAAUUUUAGGGUGACCAAACGUCCGUAUUUCCCGGGACAUGUCCGUAUUUUACGUCUUGUCCCGGGCAUCCUGGGUUUUUUUCAGAAAGUGAGGAAAUGUCCUGGUUUUUAAAUUACCUUCAUUGGACCAGAGAGCAGUAGACAGCGUGGAGCCCUGCCUCCCCUCCCUUUUCUGGUGCAGUCUCAAAGUAAGAGCACACACACAACGCUCCUCCCCUCAAAACUUAAAAUCCCUCAUUUUGACACCACAGUGUACAAACUGUUUGCGACAGUGUGGGCGGAAGUAAACCUUGGCAUUGCCUACCUGAUCUGUGCCCCUGCUCAUUUUGCAGUGCACAUGCACGGCACAAAUCGGGCAUGGGGCACAGUUCGGGUAGUGACAGGCUACACAGGGCUGCAUGUGCUUCUUUGACGUUGCUGCUCCGCACGGCACUCCACAGCACCUCUAGCGGUAUGAGAGAAAUACACACCCGUUCUAGUUUCCCCUAUAGUAUAUCAUUCCCAGCACUAUGAUAAUAUGAUGACGGUAAUGAGUAUCACUGUCAACAUGUUUUAUUUUCUUUGGAAAGGCAAAUAAUUUCUCAAAAGUUUAACACAAGCCAAUAGAGGGCACAAUGGUGGAGCUCAAACACAAUCACUACGGCAACCAAGCACCGCAUUCUAACCGUAAUGUCACAAUCCAGUGUCACUGUAAAGAACUGUAAAUUCUAAAGCCUCACAUUUCUCCUCAGUUCACCGAAGAAGAAGCAGCAGAACUGUGCAGCUCGUUACAGUAAAGUUUAAUUUAUUUAAUUAAUUAGCUUUAUUGUGAGAAAAGUUUCUUAGAAGACGAUGGAGGAGUCUAUAUUCAGACAAAGAAAGAGGAAGAGAGAAGAAGAGGAGGAUUUGCAGACGGUUCCACAGCAAACGGACGAUCCUAAAAUCAAAUCCCCAGAAAGGAAGAGAAAGAAGGCAGAGAAAAGACAACAAACAGCCCAGGAAACAAAAGUAUAGAAAAAGGAGAAGAAGGCCUAAACAGUCAAAGGUCAACAACAAGCCAGUUUCCACAGAGAACUACGAAUCUCUCUACACUGUUGGAGAGAGACUCGGAGAAGGAGGCUUUGGAGUGGUCUUCAGUGGAACACACAUUUCUGACGGCCUACAGUUUCUUGACCAUGUCUCCAUAACUUCAUUAUCUCACAUACAUUAAUUUUUAAUCCUCAUGAUCUCUAAUCCUUUUAUUGUCUUUUUGCAUAGGUGGCCAUUAAAUUAAUCCCAAAACAGGAGGAAGACCGAUUCUUCAAAAGCUCUCGUGAUUCCAGGUCUAUUCCAAUAGAAGUGGCCCUGAUGCAAAAGAUGAGCGAGCCACCUGUUAAAAACAUAAUUCAACUCAUCGAGUGGUUCAAUGAGCCUGAGCGCUAUAUUUUGAUCCUGGAGCGUUUUUUUUUCUUGCAUGGGCCUGAAUGACUUCAUUCAAACCUACGGAGGAUCUCUCAGUGAACAGAUGGCAAGAAAUUUAAUGAUACAGGUAGUGAAGGUAAGUGAUUGAGUGCCAGAAGCGAGGUGUCUUCCACAGAGACAUCAAAGUGGAUAACAUUUUGAUCAACACGGACACUUUGAAGCUCAAACUGAUCGACUUCGGCUGUGGUGAUUUGAUCAGAAGAUGCGGAUAUAGUUAUUUUGACGGCACUUUGGAAUACUGCCCCCAGAGUUUUUUGCGCCAUUCCUACAACCGUAUGGUCUUUAGGGGAGAUGCUGUUCCAGGUCAUCAGUGCAUCCUUUCCAUUUAAAGAUGAGGACGAGAUCCUUGGUGGUCAUCUCAGCUUUAAAGAUGGCCUAUCAGAUGAAUUCCAUGAACUGGUUAGGUGGUGUCUGCAGGCCCAGCCAUCCUCAAGACCUAAUUUGCAGCAGAUCUUGGAUCACAAGUGGUUCAAGUCCAGCUUCCCUGCCCAGGAACGGUUUUGCCAGUUUUUAUAGAGAAGAAAAAGUAAACGGCAAUCACUACAGCGGACAAAAAUAUGAAAUGCAAUGCACACAUGACAUACAUUUUUUCAUAGAAACAUGCACAAAAUAUGUGCCAAAAUGAAAAGCAAAAACAACUGUCACGUUGCAGUACUCUAUAUACACUUUAAAUUUACAUUUUCUUUUAUACAGAGUAACUGGACCGUAGUAGUUCUAGUUCACAAGAGCUGAGCUCCGGUAGAGUAAUUUGAUGGAAAUGUAAAUGGUUCUGUAUGUAAAAUACAUGGACUGAAGGUUUACUGUUAAAAUAAAUGAAAUCAUAGUGUUCCUGUUUUUAUACAGUCAUUGAUUAAAACAAAAUGUUAUGUGCAUUCUGUUUCAAUGAUGAGUUUAUGUUUAAUAUUUCAAGGGGCAAGUCAGUAAAGCAGUGCCCCAAUUUAAUUCCACAGAUUUUUGUACGGGCGGGCCGCGGAACAGUGGUCACGACUCUGGGCGUGUGUAGGUCCUGUCUCACAUAUCUCCCCGGCUACACUCAUUCCUUACAGCAAUAAGUACAAAUUUGUACCAUUUCACCAGCCAAAAGGUACAUUCAGUAUUCUGUACCACUGUACUAAUAAACAAUAUAUAUAUUUUAA